RNAcentral lists this ribosomal RNA (1302 nucleotides) under Triticum aestivum (bread wheat). RNAcentral describes it as "partial small subunit ribosomal RNA". Lineage: Eukaryota; Viridiplantae; Streptophyta; Magnoliopsida; Poales; Poaceae. The record is from RNAcentral.
AUGUCGGCGACAAACAAGCAAAAUGCUGCGAAGAAUAAGCAUCACCAUCGCACGGGGUCAGGUGGCUCCCUCGUAGCCCAGUCUAAGUGGGCCAAGACUGAGAAUGAUCUGGUUGAUAAAGGGAUCGAACCAGAGACAAUUAACUGGCCAGACCGUUGCCGUACUUGGUUCUUCGGGGCUGGCGAAACCUUGGGCCCUGUAACAGGAAAGUGCAUUUGGACGAACGAUCAAAUGGACAUACCAGUCAGGAAGCUUAAGCAGUAUAUCAAAGCAGCGCAGCAAGGGACGUUCUUUCCAGACAGAGAGAACGACAAGCUCACAAUGGCCCUCGGGAAUCCUGAGCACCCUGGACGGACACGAGGCACGCUAGGCUCCAUUCCGUGGAAGGUUGGGUUUCCGGAUGCAGGCGGGUACAAAUCCCAUGAGAGGAGGAAAAAAGUGCAGCAGACCCAAAUGCAAGCGCUGCAAGCAAGGGUAGGCGCGAUAGAGGAACGAGAAGCAAAUCACAGCAAACGUACUGCCGAAGCUUCCCCCGAAGCUACCCCGCCAUCUCAGCGCAGAAGCAGCGUGGCUUCCAUCGAGCUGCUUCAGCCGGAGCAUGCCUUGACGGCUCCUGCCAGCUAUCCCGUGGAUGCUAUCAUGGAGUCUCAAAAUUGCCACCUUAUGACGCAAUGGAUGAAUUUGAAGGUCAAGGCGGCUGUUGGCUCUUUUUAUCCUACUGAACCCGGCGCAACUUUUCACUGCCGGCCGAUUCCAGAAGGAUAUGCUAGGGUGAUGGUGGAUGAAAUAACGGAGGGAUUUGAGGACCUCCAGCUUGACCACCCUACCGGUGAAGGGGAGACUAGGCUGGGGUCUGCUCUGAAGACUCCAUGCCUAUGGCGGAAGGAGCUCAUCAACCUUCCGAACUGGACGCCACCGCCUCCUCCUCCUCCGGCAAGUCAGGGCACUCCGCCUCCUCCUCCGGCGUGUGACGAUCAGGGCACUCGACCGGCUCCUUCUCCAGCGCGUGGUGCCACUCCGCCUCCUUCUCCGCCUGCGCCGACGCGCCCGAGCAGCCAGCCUCCUUCUUCUCCGCCUCGUCAGCAAGGGCGGAAGAGACCUGCCGCCGCUCCGGCUGCUCCGGCGCGUCGUAGUCCUUCUCCUCCGCCUCGUAAGCAAGUAAAGAAGACAACCGCUCCGUCUUCUCGGUCGGCGUCUAGCAGUACAACCAGAGGCGGGAGGACAUACAGAUUCGGUCCUUCUCUGAAGACUCCGAAGUUACCAUACGAGAGGACCCCGGAGGAGAACACCGAGAUCGCAUGA